This 933-nucleotide ribosomal RNA is filed under the name Triticum aestivum (bread wheat). Its description in RNAcentral is "partial small subunit ribosomal RNA". Lineage: Eukaryota; Viridiplantae; Streptophyta; Magnoliopsida; Poales; Poaceae. The record is from RNAcentral.
AUGGAUGUAAAAAUAACUAACUUUUGUAUUUUUGAGGUUAAAAACCCACUUCCAACGAAUGAUGUAGAUGCAAAUUCUUGUACAUCUUCCGGUCGAGCAGAUGUAAAAUACAACACCUGGAGAUGCAAAUUUACAUCUCCACCUUCAGGAGAUGUAAAACUAGAGGUCGCGCACCAACCGCCCUUCAUUUCCUUUCCCCUCCUUCCUCUCCCCGCCUGCCGCACAGCCCUCGCCACCCCGUUUCGCCUGCAGCACUGCCGCCGCCACCCCACUCGUGCCAGAUCCGGUCGUCAACCAACCCGCGCGCCCCUCCGCCGCCGGUCUGCCGCUCUGCCGCUCUGCCUCGAAUCGCCGUCCCAAUUCCCCACUGCCGCCACCACAAUUUGUCACCCCCGCCGCCCCGACGCUCCUCGACCGCCGCCCCCACACACAACCAUCGUCGCACUGACGCUCCCCCGAUGCCGCCGUCCCAAAUCGCGUCGUGCUGUCGCUGCCCCUAUUCGCCCGCCGCCCAACCGCCACCACCCCGUCGUCGCCAUGCCACCGAAGAAGCUCCCGAAGAGCAAGACCGGGUUCUUCGGCAUGCGGGCGAAGCCAUCCAGCAACUUCAGCGUCGAGUUCUCUGAUGCCGACCGCCGCUUUUGGCUCGGCUGCUACACUACCGCGGACAAGGUCGCACGCGCCUACGACGUGGCAGUGUGGUGUGCCGGGAGGCCGAAGACGAACCUCUACUUCCUGGAGAUUGAGACCCGGGCGGAUGCGAAGUUCCUCGUGCUGGAGGGUAUUCAGAUUGAGGAGAUAACGAAGAAGACGAAGAAGAGGCCGGCCAUUGUAAGUUGCUCUCGGCGACAGCGACGAGGCGACGAUGGUGAGGUUCACACGGGAGCAACCGAAAUAUGUUUAGGCCGAGCAGGAGUACUUCUGGAAGCGUGA